Molecule: long non-coding RNA, 2763 nt
Organism: Glossina fuscipes
Lineage: Eukaryota; Metazoa; Arthropoda; Insecta; Diptera; Glossinidae
Exons: 3
Source: RefSeq, a predicted model, not a curated record
UUAAUAGUAAUUAUGAGAAAGAGCACAAAAUAGAAGCACAAUUCGGUAGAAAUUGCGGCAAAAAAAUUAAACUAAAAGUGUGUAAGUGAUAAAAGGCGACGACGGCUAUUUAGAUAUCACAUUUUUGCUUUUAAAUAUAAAGCGUAAUUACAAAAUUUUACUUCAAUGAAAGAUUGGCUUUGGAGUGACAAUGGAAAAAAUGUAUGUAUUGCCAAUGCCAACUCCAAGUGCUCACUUCACACUUUCCAAAAUGCUUUACAGCAGCAACGUGAAUAACUUCGCUAACGUUUGUGUAUGCUGGAGAAUGUCUUCAUUAACACAACUAUCGGCGAGUUCAGUGAGAUAAUCUUUCAGUUCACCAAGGCAAAGUUGUACACCGGCGCAUGAAGCAGGCUCAAAUCUGUUAGUGCCUUGUUCAAAACUACAUCUUGUUAUACUUAUUUUAUCGAGUUGGGACUUUUUUGUGGGAUAUGAACUGUGAGUUGGUUACGCAGCUUUAAGACAAAUAGUUCCAACAAAUUAAUUAAAUGUUAAUUUAUGAGAAUUAAAAGAAAAAUAUAUCGCGAAAAAUAAGAGAAAAAAAAUUUAGCCUAAAGACGACAUGUGACUAUAUAGAUGUCACUUUGUACAUACUGAUUUUGGAAACGGAGAUAAAUUACUAUGCGAAUGAAAGCUGGCAAAAAGCGUCAUCGAAUUUUCAUCAAGCACAGCUACAAUACGGCGUAACAGUAACUAAUUUUCGAAGCGGUCAAAAUGUUGUGCAAUAAAAACAUAUUAUAUUAAUAAUGUAGCGGUGAGUGUAAUAAGCAAAAGUUAUUUCAUUUCAUUAAAAAAAAAAAAAAAAUUGUAUUACAACUAAGAUAUCUAACUAAGUUGGAAAUCCACAAACAGUUUCCCCGAAAUAGUUUAAAUGAUUAAUGUUAAGUUUUAAUAUUUAAGCAGAUUUUUACAUCGCAAGACAUCUGCUAUGUGCAGAAAGGUUUAUCGGAGAUCGUACAAAAUAUUCUCCAUUUCUCCAGCGGAAAACGUUACCAUGUUCUUUUUUUUUUAGGUAGAACUUUUGCAGUUAAAACUAACGAGAAUAUUUUUGCGAUUCCAUAUCAGAUUCAUUUCAAGAAAUAUGCAUCAAAGACGUUGUAAAGGGUAUACGUUUUUGGUCAGCGGCAGAGAGUUCUCUUCGCCUAUUUGUUGUUGUUCUUAAUUUCACUUAAGAGAUCGUGGUUAAAAUUAAACGUAAUGUAGCGGUGUGUGUAGUGAAUAGAAAUUAAUUGAUCUCAUCAAAAAGAACUACUUUUAGAACCAAGAAAUUAAAGUUACUACAGUUAUAGCACUGAUUAUGCACUGUUUAUUAACUUUUGGUCGUUUCUAUGACAAAAGAAAGAUAAUUCCUUUUUCUUUGAAUUACUAUCGUCAUAGCUUUCUUUCUGUUAUUUAUUUUGAAAAAAUGAAAGGGAAAUGCGGGAGAUAAGCUUGACGUUAAUUUGUUUAAAAGUAAGCAGCAAUAUGUAAACAACGCCAAAAGCAUAUAGUCAUACAAAAUUUAGAAGUAACAAAAUAAAAUAGAGCGAAAUAAUAACAAUUUUUAAGAAAAAACCAUAAUAUAAGCUCAAGUCCAAACUAGGAAGUUCUGAAAUUUAAUAUCAGACCAUCGUUGUUGUUAUAGAAAAUACUAAAAAAGAAUCGAUCGGCAUCAAUUAAAACUUCUAUAGCAUACUAACUUCAUUUUGGCUUUGAAAAUAUGGAUGUGAAACCGUUGCAACAUUUUGUGUUUUGUGUUUGUAUGCAUUAGAAGCUCAAUUACCACAGAUGCGUUCUUUAUAAAAUAAUUUAUAUAAAUUGUAUUUGCAUUGAUUAGCAGCUUACUUUUGCUUCUUUUCACUCAAGCAAAAUAGAUUUUUGUGUCUUAUUAUCGAACCUGUUGUGAUACCAGGACUGUACCCAAUUAUAAGAACGAAAUUCAGAAUCGCUCUUUCGAAUUUCAGAAUUGUUGUUUUCGAAAUGGAGGCAUGGAAGAUCUUGAACGUAAAGUUGGAAAGCGUAUUUCCAACGCAUCUAUCUUCGGAAAUAUCUCGUUCUUAUAAUUAAUUGGGGCAAUUGAAGCUAAAAGCGAUGUGUCGCUGUAUUAUUAAUAAAUCGCAGGAAAUGAGCUGGCUUUUGCUCACCAAUUACAUGAGUGGAUAGCAAGCGGCGCAAUUUCCUUUCUUCGGACUAGGCAAACGUAGUUAUUAUUUUCGAGUUGAGGGGUUCAUAUUUGUAAUGCCCGUGUGGCGGAUUUAGUAUUACCUGCGACACGAAUUGUAAGGUUGUGAGGUCCAUGUUGCUGAGGAUCUGGUCGAAUUUUGUUUCAGCCACUGUUAUCUUGUUCACUUGGAGGACUGCAUCCACUUGAACGAACUAUAGUUCCGGGUCCAACUUUCAGGACUAGAGUAUCUUGAUUGAAGUUGCUGGAUUCACUUGUGCUGAAAUAUCCUUGUUCUACUGGGUAUGGCUCAAUGAUGUGAUGACUUCGCUUCGCUAUUGUGCAUCUCGUCUUGUGCUUUUUUCUUUGGGGUCGCCCAUUGUUGAUAAUGUUUUUUGUAAAUUACAAAAUUCGAAAGAGACUGCAAUAGUUUUUGGCAUGUCGCAGUUGUUUUUGAGUUCGUUGCAAACAAGAGCCGGCGGACUGCUAACCAAUCUUUGUAACGGUUCUAGCUCUGCAGUCCGGUAGAGCAAAUUCAUUGAAGAGCUUAACUUUCUGAGCCGCAUUACAAAGAAAGAGAAAGA